This 473-nucleotide long non-coding RNA is filed under the name Anser brachyrhynchus (Pink-footed goose). Its description in RNAcentral is "lncRNA (ENSABRG00000012792.1)". The record is from RNAcentral. Lineage: Eukaryota; Metazoa; Chordata; Aves; Anseriformes; Anatidae.
AAACACAUGGCCCCACCUUUGUGAGACUACCCUGGUUGUAUCCCCUAGCACCUUCCUCAGGAAAUGAAAGCGAAUUCCCUCAGACCGAAGUGGGAAUCAGUGCUUCAUCUCUUAUGAAUCUUUGACAUUUAGACUCCUGGAUUUCCUGGCAUCCAAAAUAUUUCUAUGGUCUUCAGAGAUUCCUGGGCUCUGGCCCACUGCAUGUUGGUAAAUCAACCAGAGAAUUGCUCGAAGAAGAUUCUCAUCAAUGAAGGGUAGACUAUCAGAAGGUGUUUGGAAGCCUGGUGAAAUGAUGAUGGAUAACCUCAGAAGAGAUAAAAUGAAAGUUGGUAUCAGCAUGUAGGUAGAUAGUCACUGUAUACUAAUUAGGCAUUCUCCUUUGUGUGCUUAAAACCACAGCAUUUCUUACAAUAAUUCAUCUAAAUGCAUAGUUUAAUGUCUACGUUAAGAGGCAUACUGUAAUUAGAGCUCCA